Molecule: long non-coding RNA, 419 nt
Filed under: Homo sapiens (human)
Lineage: Eukaryota; Metazoa; Chordata; Mammalia; Primates; Hominidae
Description: LHRI_LNC5.2
Source: RNAcentral
UCUCAUGAGAUCUGACAGUUUUAUAAGGGACUUUUGCCAUUUUGCUUGGUACUUCUCCUUGCUGCCACCAUGUGAAGAAGGACAUAUUUGCUUUCCCUUCUGCCAUGAUUUCUUCAACAAACCAGAAGACUCAUUAGGAUCCAUAAUAGCUGCCAGUGUAGAGGAGCCUCAGUUACUUUCACUUUGAUCAUUAUCCCUGGGAGAAGAAGCCAACAGCUCCUGGUGACCACAAUAAGAGAUUUCAUUUUUACCUCUUACGAAGAGCUCAGUGGAACAUUUCUCAUCACCGGCUGUCACAUAAUACUCUGAAUCAUCUGUCAUCUGACAGUUAUUGAUAAACAGGAUUCUCUGGCAUCCUUUGUGUUCAAAGAUGUAUCUGUUUUGAAUAGGAUGAAAAUAAACAGAGUCUGUGAAUGUGA